AGGGAUUUUCUCUUAUUCAAUGGAUCUUAUAAGAUUCACAUGCCGAUCCAGCGCAGUAAUGUUUACAUUUGAAAGAUGUGGAAAAAAUAUUACAUUCAGAUCAGCGAUCCGUUUCAGUGAGUCUUUAGACAGUUUCCUAAACUACGAACUUGUCAUUAAAAAAGAAGGGAAUCUAGGAAGGAGCAUAACUUGUUUUUCAAGAUCUGCGAAAAUAGUUUUCUAGGAUGCAAAAUUAGGUAUGUAACGCUUGAUCCCUUCAAAAAAAACAGCAUGUAUUAGCCAUGGAUUGAGGCUAAAUUAAAUUUGUACAAUGAUAUUUCCAGCAUUACUAUUACACAGUUUUUUGUUAGA
Non-coding RNA from Schizosaccharomyces pombe (fission yeast), 351 nucleotides. Lineage: Eukaryota; Fungi; Ascomycota; Schizosaccharomycetes; Schizosaccharomycetales; Schizosaccharomycetaceae. The record is from the annotation of a GenBank genome assembly.